This 388-nucleotide long non-coding RNA is filed under the name Carica papaya (papaya). RNAcentral's name for it is "long non-coding RNA (CPAP_LNC010540)". The record is from RNAcentral. Lineage: Eukaryota; Viridiplantae; Streptophyta; Magnoliopsida; Brassicales; Caricaceae.
UAAUGAAAGACUGGACGAAGUCGAUGCCGAAGAAACCGAGGAGGUAGAUGAAGGAAGCGAUGAGGGAGACAAUGGCAGCGAUUUCGGGGAGAGUGACGACGUGGAGGGGCGUGGAGUUCCGGAUCUUGUCGCGCCACCUGUGCAGGAGGUAGUAGGCAACGGAGAAAAAUAAAGUGAAGAAAAUGGCGUUGGUGAGGUAGAGGGGGAGGGGUAGCGCGUCAGAUGCCUUAGGGGUUGGCGAUGGAGGGUUGUGGUGAUGAAGGGUCCCGCCGCCGGUUGUGGUGGCAGUAGACGGUUUAGGUGGCCGGCGGCGGAUGUCCAUGGUGGAAUAUUCCGGCGGCGGGAGGAGAAAUUGACGGGUUGGAAAGGAGAGAGAAAAAGACAGAGG